CAGUUCAGACUGCAGGCUGCAACUCGCCUGCACGAAGUCGGAAUUGCUAGUAAUCGUAGGUCAGCAUACUACGGUGAAUACGUUCCCGGGCCUUGUACACACCGCCCGUCAAACCAUGAGAGUUGGCAACACCCGAAGUCGGUAGUCUAACCGCAAGGAGGACGCCGCCGAAGGUGGGGUUGAUGAUUAGGGUUAAGUCGUAACAAGGUAUC
RNAcentral lists this ribosomal RNA (212 nucleotides) under uncultured bacterium. RNAcentral's name for it is "partial 16S ribosomal RNA". It matches the Rfam family "Bacterial small subunit ribosomal RNA", at positions 1289 to 1500 of the family's 1533-position model. The record is from RNAcentral.